UACAGAGGGUGCGAGCGUUAAUCGGAUUUACUGGGCGUAAAGCGCGCGUAGGUGGUUAAUUAAGUCAAAUGUGAAAUCCCCGAGCUUAACUUGGGAAUUGCAUUCGAUACUGGUUAGCUAGAGUAUGGGAGAGGAUGGUAGAAUUCCAGGUGUAGCGGUGAAAUGCGUAGAGAUCUGGAGGAAUACCGAUGGCGAAGGCAGCCAUCUGGCCUAAUACUGACACUGAGGUGCGAAAGCAUGGGGAGCAAACAGGAUUAGAUACCCUGGUAGUCCAUGCCGUAAACGAUGUCUACUAGCCGUUGGGGGAUUUGAUCCUUUAGUGGCGCAGCUAACGCGAUAAGUAGACCGCCUGGGGAGUACGGUCGCAAGACUAAA
RNAcentral lists this ribosomal RNA (375 nucleotides) under uncultured bacterium. Its description in RNAcentral is "bacterial SSU rRNA". It matches the Rfam family "Bacterial small subunit ribosomal RNA", at positions 524 to 898 of the family's 1533-position model. The record is from RNAcentral.